Molecule: ribosomal RNA, 253 nt
Filed under: uncultured bacterium
Lineage: Bacteria
Description: partial 16S ribosomal RNA
Rfam family: Bacterial small subunit ribosomal RNA
Source: RNAcentral
UACGUAGGUGACCAGCGUUGUCCGGAUUUACUGGGCGUAAAGAGCGCGCAGGCGGUCGUUCAAGUCGAGUGUGAAAGCCCCCGGCUCAACUGGGGAGGGUCAUUCGAUACUGAUCGACUUGAAGGCAGGAGAGGGAAGUGGAAUUCCCGGUGUAGUGGUGAAAUGCGUAGAUAUCGGGAGGGACACCGGUGGCGAAGGCGGUUCUCUGGGCCUGUACUGACGCUGAGGAGCGAAAGCGUGGGGAGCGAACAGG